UACGUAGGGUGCGAGCGUUGUCCGGAAUUAUUGGGCGUGAAGAGCUUGUAGGCGGUUUGUCGCGUCUGCUGUGAAAAUCCGGGGCUCAACCCCGGACUUGCAGUGGGUACGGGCAGACUAGAGUGUGGUAGGGGAGACUGGAAUUCCUGGUGUAGCGGUGAAAUGCGCAGAUAUCAGGAGGAACACCGAUGGCGAAGGCAGGUCUCUGGGACGGUACUGACGCUGAGACGCGAAAGCGUGGGGAGCGAACAGG
Molecule: ribosomal RNA, 253 nt
Filed under: uncultured bacterium
Lineage: Bacteria
Description: partial 16S ribosomal RNA
Rfam family: Bacterial small subunit ribosomal RNA
Source: RNAcentral